AGGACGAACGCUGGCGGCGUGCUUAACACAUGCAAGUCAAGGGGGCCCAGCAAUGGGCAACCGGCGAACGGGUGCGUAACACGUGAGCAACCUACCGAACUGUGGGGGAUAGCCGGCCUAACGGCCGAGUAAUACCGCAUACGCUCUCAGAGAGGCAUUUCUUUGAGAGGAAACCUACGGGACAGAUCGAGGGGCUCGCGGCCUAUCAGCUAGUUGGCGAGGUAACGGCUCACCAAGGCAACGACGGGUAGCU
Molecule: ribosomal RNA, 253 nt
Filed under: uncultured bacterium
Lineage: Bacteria
Also listed under: 1 other name
Description: partial small subunit ribosomal RNA
Rfam family: Bacterial small subunit ribosomal RNA
Source: RNAcentral